Molecule: ribosomal RNA, 237 nt
Filed under: Triticum aestivum (bread wheat)
Lineage: Eukaryota; Viridiplantae; Streptophyta; Magnoliopsida; Poales; Poaceae
Description: partial small subunit ribosomal RNA
Source: RNAcentral
AUGCAGUCCUAUCUUAAUCGGGAAGUCAUCGGUGUCGACAUCACUUGUUCGAACACUUGUCACAACAUUAUUGUACAUGUCCUUGAUGAGGGUAAUGUACUUUGUUGGGACUUUGUGUUUCUCCAAGGCCCACCACAUGACAUUCCGCGGUAUCUUAUCAUAGGCCUUCUCCAAGUCAAUGAACACCAUAUGCAUGAAACCAAACUGAUUUUUUGUCACGCUUGUCAUUCUUCUUAA